AAGCUUAGUUGCCAUCAUUAAGUUGGGCACUCUAAGUUGACUGCCGGUGACAAACCGGAGGAAGGUGGGGAUGACGUCAAAUCAUCAUGCCCCUUAUGAUUUGGGCUACACACGUGCUACAAUGGACAAUACAAAGGGCAGCGAAACCGCGAGGUCAAGCAAAUCCCAUAAAGUUGUUCUCAGUUCGGAUUGUAGUCUGCAACUCGACUACAUGAAGCUGGAAUCGCUAGUAAUCGUAGAUCAGCAUGCUACGGUGAAUACGUUCCCGGGUCUUGUACACACCGCCCGUCACACCACGAGAGUUUGUAACACCCGAAGCCGGUGGAGUAACCUUUUAGGAGCUAGCCGUCGAAGGUGGGACAAAUGAUUGGGGUGAAGUCGUAACAAGGUAGCCGUAUCGGAAGGUGCGGCUGGAUCACCUCCUUUCUAAGGA
RNAcentral lists this ribosomal RNA (433 nucleotides) under Staphylococcus aureus. Its description in RNAcentral is "bacterial SSU rRNA". It matches the Rfam family "Bacterial small subunit ribosomal RNA", at positions 1107 to 1533 of the family's 1533-position model. Lineage: Bacteria; Bacillati; Bacillota; Bacilli; Caryophanales; Staphylococcaceae. The record is from RNAcentral.